Molecule: long non-coding RNA, 626 nt
Filed under: Nicotiana tabacum (common tobacco)
Lineage: Eukaryota; Viridiplantae; Streptophyta; Magnoliopsida; Solanales; Solanaceae
Description: long non-coding RNA (NTAB_LNC000945)
Source: RNAcentral
GUGGUGGUGAAGUGUAGUAGUAAGGUGGAGGAGGUGACUUAACUGGUGGUGGAGGGGAGGAGUAGUAGUAAGGUGGAGGAGGUGACUUAACUGGUGGGGGAGGGGAGGAGUAGUAGUAAGGAGGAGGAGGUGACUUAACUGGUGGUGGAGGGGAAGAGUAGUAGUACGGUGGUGGAGGUGACUUAACUGGUGGUGGAGGAGAGGAGUAGUAGUACGGUGGAGGAGGUGACUUAACUGGUGGUGGAGGGGAGGAGUAGUAGUACGGUGGAGGAGGUGACUUAGCAGGUGGUGGUGGGGACUUGUAAUAGUAAGGUGGUGGGGGAGAGGGUGAAGGGGGUGGUGGUGAUUUAUAGUAGUAUGGUGGAGGUGGUGAUGGAGAAGGUGGUGGGGGAGACUUGUAAUAAUAAGGUGGAGGUGGUGAAGGUGAAGGUGGUGGCGGGGAUUUGUAGUAAUAUGGUGGUGGAGGUGAUGGUGAAGGAGGUGGUGGUGAUUUAUAUACAUAUGGUGGUGGUGGAGAUGGUGAUGGAGGUGGUGGCGACUUGUACACAUACGGCGGUGGAGGAGAUGGUGAAGGAGGAGGUGGCGACUUGUAAACGUAUGGAGGUGGUGGAGAUGGUGAAGGAGGU